Non-coding RNA from Capsicum annuum, 107 nucleotides. Lineage: Eukaryota; Viridiplantae; Streptophyta; Magnoliopsida; Solanales; Solanaceae. The record is from Rfam.
UAAUGGUGAUGAGAAAAAUUUCUAAGGAUGCCUUUAAAUCUCUCCCAGGCUUGGCAUAGAUUCUCUCUAUCUUUUUGUAUGAAACUCAGGAUCUCACUCCUCAAACA